CACUCUAGAGAGACUGCCAGGGAUAACCUGGAGGAAGGUGGGGAUGACGUCAAAUCAUCAUGCCCCUUAUGCUUAGGGCUACACACGUGCUACAAUGGGUAGUACAGAGGGUUGCCAAGCCGUAAGGCGGAGCUAAUCCCUUAAAGCUACUCUCAGUUCGGAUUGUAGGCUGAAACUCGCCUACAUGAAGCUGGAGUUACUAGUAAUCGCAGAUCAGAAUGCUGCGGUGAAUGCGUUCCCGGGUCUUGUACACCCCGCCCGUCACACCACGGGAGUUGGAGACGCCCGAAGCCGAUUAUCUAACCUUUUGGAAGAAGUCGUCGAAGGUGGAAUCAAUAACUGGGGUGAAGUCGUAACAAGGUAGCCGUAUCGGAAGGUGCGGCUGGAUCACCUCCUUUCUAAGGAGA
Molecule: ribosomal RNA, 407 nt
Filed under: Clostridioides difficile
Lineage: Bacteria; Bacillati; Bacillota; Clostridia; Peptostreptococcales; Peptostreptococcaceae
Description: bacterial SSU rRNA
Rfam family: Bacterial small subunit ribosomal RNA
Source: RNAcentral